UACGGAGGGUGCGAGCGUUGUCCGGAAUCACUGGGCGUAAAGGGCGCGUAGGCGGCUUCUUAAGCGUGUGGUGAAAGCUCAGGGCUCAACUCUGAGUCGGCCAUGCGAACUGGGAGGCUUGAGCACUGUAGAGGCAGGUGGAAUUCCGGGUGUAGCGGUGGAAUGCGUAGAGAUCCGGAAGAACACCGGUGGCGAAGGCGGCCUGCUGGGCAGUAGCUGACGCUGAGGCGCGAAGC
This 236-nucleotide ribosomal RNA is filed under the name uncultured bacterium. RNAcentral describes it as "partial 16S ribosomal RNA". It matches the Rfam family "Bacterial small subunit ribosomal RNA", at positions 524 to 760 of the family's 1533-position model. The record is from RNAcentral.